GAGUUUGAUCGUGGCUCAGGAUGAACGCUGGCGGCGUGCUUAACACAUGCAAGUCGAGCGAAGCGCUUUUGCGGAUUUCUUCGGAUUGAAGCAACUGUGACUGAGCGGCGGACGGGUGAGUAACGCGUGGGUGACCUGCCCCAUACCGGGGGAUAACAGCUGGAAACGGCUGCUAAUACCGCAUAAGCGCACAGAGCUGCAUGGCUCGGUGUGAAAAACUCCGGUGGUAUGGGAUGGGCCCGCGUCUGAUUAGGCAGUUGGCGGGUAACGGCCCACCAAACCGACGAUCAGUAGCCGGCCUGAGAGGGCGACCGGCCACAUUGGGACUGAGACACGGCCCAAACUCCUACGGGAGGCAGCAGUGGGGAAUAUUGCACAAUGGGGGAAACCCUGAUGCAGCGACGCCGCGUGAGCGAAGAAGUAUUUCGGUAUGUAAAGCUCUAUCAGCA
This 449-nucleotide ribosomal RNA is filed under the name uncultured bacterium. Its description in RNAcentral is "bacterial SSU rRNA". It matches the Rfam family "Bacterial small subunit ribosomal RNA", at positions 9 to 441 of the family's 1533-position model. The record is from RNAcentral.